Cynoglossus semilaevis (tongue sole) is the source of this 3627-nucleotide long non-coding RNA. RefSeq lists it as uncharacterized. The transcript is spliced from 2 exons. The record is from RefSeq and is a predicted model, not a curated record. NCBI's taxonomy places the organism in Eukaryota, Metazoa, Chordata, Actinopteri, Pleuronectiformes, Cynoglossidae.
ACCAAGUGCAGAUCAACAGUCAGUUUUAUCACUUUUAAUUUAAUUGUUUUUUUUCUUUUAUAAACAAAUGGUCACAUAAGGAGAAUCACACAGCAACAAAUAAAUAACUACAGUCUUUACUACGACUUACAGGACGACAGUGAUAUAAUGUUAUUCUCACUAGAAGAUUGAAGUGAAACUCAAACUGUGUUUCCUUGUAAAGUGUAAGUCAUUUAGAAAAACCUUGGGUUAAUAAAAGGAAAAUUUAUUAUCAAAUAAAAAAAAAAAAGUUUUUUUCGCAACUUUAUUCCCUUUUGUUUUCCAGGAUCUGAGGGUGACCUUUGAACCCCUCUCUAUGCUUUUUUAGUUUUGAUAACUAAAGAGUCUGAAACAAGCAUUUGGGUCUGAACUAAAGGUUUUUUGUCACUGGUUAUUAAACUUGACCUUAGGUUCAGUGUUUGACCGUGUCACCCAUUCAAACUCAGUUUUUCUUAACUAUAUCCUGGAUCUUUUAAAUUUAAAUUUCUGGUCAGGGUUGCUCAGAAUCAAUUUUCAAACAUUAAAGUAUACUUCACAUGAGAAAAAAAUAGCUUUUAUCUGCUGUCACAUAUUUUUUUUUCUUAAAUUCUAAUGUUCUUUCAGCUUUCUGAAAGCUAGUGUGUAUAGUCCUGGAGAAUAGUGACCAAAACACAGAGAUGUGUCUCAGAGUCAAAUUAUGUGAGGUAAUCAGACUGUCAAGGAUUGUGUGAGAAAUCCCGACACUUCUAAUUCAUAGUAAUAUUGUUUAAGAUCACCAAGUGCUCUCAGUAGAAAAACAAACUGUCCAAUAUGUCAACAGACACAACCUCGCUGUUUGCAGGUGAAGCCGAAUAAAGAGCCGAUGUGCUCAAAAAAACACGACAAGUGCUAUGCAACAUGAACCACUGUACAUGUUUAGCUCAUUGUGAAGAAGCCGCCGCAGCAGCAGAAGUGGUUAGCACUCCUGCAGUACACAGAGAAGUAAGACAAACCGCUGGUUUGAUUCUUGGGCUUUUUGUACAGAAUGUACAAAGGUUGGUGACUGUCUGCACUGACAUUGAAUUUUGUUAUGAACCUGGAACAUGAUUCAUCAGUUGUUUGAGUUGGAAUGAUAUUUAAAGCCUUUUCAGAGACAUUGUCUCCCACCACGGUGUUACCUGUGGGUGUGUGUAACAACACCAACUUAAAAUGUCUUUGUCUUUAUAUUAUUUUGUUCAUUUCAGCCCAUCGUGGUGCAACAUAGACCUGAUCUUCCAACAAAGGAGCCAAAAAACUGAAGUUGACUCCAGCACUACAAGAACUGAAUCACCACAGGCUGCUAUUCAUGUAUGAGUUCAAUGAACAUUUGCCCACACCUCACAGAGGUCAACAUCCUGGGUUUCUCCACCUACUACCUGAGGAGGCUUCAUCAAUGAGGAGCCAAACACCUUGUAACGUAAGUCCUGUUGCCACUGUCCCUCAUUUUGGAUACAUUUUCUCAUUUUUCACUAUUGUUAGCUCUUGACGACCUUGAACAAAGACAUUUGCUGAGAACACCGUGAUUCAUCUAUUAAAGUCGCGACUAUCUUCCUGUGGGGUUAAACGACUCACACAGGCUGACAUUCGGAGUGCCAUUCCUUGCCAGCAUGAACACUCAAGCUGCACUGGAGAAAGCCCUUUCUAGUGUUGCAUCUCCUUAAAGACAUUGCAGAUCGGAACGAAACAAAGAGAAGCCAAACGGUAGCGUACAAAGGAAAAUAGAGAAUUCAUCUUUUUCUUUGACAUUAAAAUAUAUCUGCAGUAUACAUCUGUUGUAGUGAGAGUCAGCAUUCACAUCGGGCAGAAACAGUCCCUGCUCAGAAGCCAGGAAGCCACAAAUAAAGUGCCAAGCAACUACUGGACAAACCAUUGCACAAAACAGAAGGAGAACAAAUUCAAAGAAAAAAACAAAACAGAAUUACACGUGAACCAGUCCAGACCCUGACAUGAUAGGAACGACAUAAAAACAAUCAAAUCCAAUGUCUGAAAACACACUGCACUUUAGCAUAGCUAGAUCAAGGUCCUGUACACAGCAUGGGAUAAGAAUCUGCUUUGUGUCCGUUAUGUCAUGCAGUCGACUGAGUAAUUCUUUAGCUCUCAGAUCCCAAGUCCCAAAAUGCAAUAAAUCAGCUUUUUCCACACACAGAAAAAAAUAAAAUAAAAAUUUGCCAUCGACCAAAACAACUUGUUUACAUAGCCUUGGAAAGGUGGUGCAUAUUCAGGAGAAGACAAAAGGGCAGUGGGGAAUCAACUGUUUAGCACAACACUGCAGAAAACAGAGGGGGGGAAAAAAACAACAACAAAAGAACAAAACAUCUAAGAAGCAGAAAGAGGAUGAGCCAGGGACCAGAAGUUCAGAUCAUUUGGCAACAGGCUGAAAGCACGGUACACUGCCACAGGUCAUUACAUUCUCCAAUCAUUCAUAGAGUACUGUUACACAGCAACGGAGUAAACAGAGCCACGUGUAACAGGAGUUUUACUGUCGUACAGGACAAACCCAUACAUGCAUCCCUUUAAACUUGGUGAUAGCUUGAUGUUACACAAAUCAAACCUGCAGAGUAAUAAUAGAAGGCCUUCACGUAGAGGUCAGUAUAGUCAUGCAUUUAGUUUCAGCUAUAGCGUAUCUACAAGGUCAGUGUUGACGAUGGUCUACUCGGAAGGAUGGGAGGAGAAGAUUUAAAAAAAAAAAAACCACCACUGGCGUCACUGGAUGUGGAUCAGUGACAUUUGACAUUUUUUUUGGAGAGAUAAAACCUCAGGGAUUAUUGACAGAAUGAAUGCUAUACACAGGUAGACUCAGUACUGAUGAACAAAAGAUGAACUUUCAGGAACACUGUGUAGGAUUUAGCAACAUCUGUUGCUGUUGCAGAUUCAUCUCACCACCCUGUAGUAAAUCUUUAGUUUACUACAGUUAUCAUUGCAGCUACAAACAUAUUGAGUUAGUUAACCGUGAACUUUAGUGGAACUACAAUGAUCCAGCUUUGAAAUAAACUAGAAAAACAAUGUUUCAAAGCUAAAAACAAAAGUACUUUUAGCUGAAUCUUAAACAGUGCACCUGGAAGUUUGCAUUGUUGGACCUUUUGAAAUGAAUUGUCAAUGAACAGAAACAAAGUGUUUUCUUCUUGAGCAGCAGGUCUUACAAACACACAACAGUCACUCAGAAGAAAAUAAAACACUGUAGACGGUUGACUUCAAGGUAGGUGAUUGUGAGAAACAAUGAACUGAAUAAGUGGAAACAGUAGGAUUGACUGAUUGACAGGAGAUAAAAAGGUAAAGGAAUAAAUUAACAAAAAAAGCUUUUCUAAAGCAAAGCUGGAUUUACGUUUCACUGUGAUAGAAAUUAUUUUAUAGGUUUGUGUAAUUUUUUUCUUGAUUGUCACCACUGGAACAAAAAUUGCACCCACCAGGUGGUGUUAUUUCUUCAAACAGUUCAUCCAACACUACAAAAACAAAGGUAUAUUUUUAAAAUGCUAAUCUGUGAAUAAACAUUGUAAAGCAGCUGCACCUCAAAACCCCUAUUACAGGGAAUUCAUUUUUCAUUAUUUCUGAAAUUCUUUGACACUAAGAUUUGUGUUUGGCUUUUGAAAAAAAUUAGAUUAAAAAAAAAAAAAA